CGGCGAUAGCGCGGUGGUCCCACCUGACCCCAUGCCGAACUCAGAAGUGAAACGCCGUAGCGCCGAUGGUAGUGUGGGGUCUCCCCAUGUGAGAGUAGGGAACUGCCAGGC
Molecule: ribosomal RNA, 111 nt
Filed under: Klebsiella aerogenes
Lineage: Bacteria; Pseudomonadati; Pseudomonadota; Gammaproteobacteria; Enterobacterales; Enterobacteriaceae
Also listed under: 1 other name
Source: RNAcentral